AAAAGAAACCAACAGGGAUUGCCUCAGUAGCGGCGAGUGAAGCGGCAAGAGCUCAGAUUUGAAAUCGUGUUUCGGCACGAGUUGUAGAGUGUAGGCGGGAGUCUCUGUGGAGCGCGGUGUCCAAGUCCCUUGGAACAGGGUGCCUGAGAGGGUGAGAGCCCCGUGGGGUGCUGCGCGAAGCUUUGAGGCCCUGCUGACGAGUCGAGUUGUUUGGGAAUGCAGCUCUAAGCGGGUGGUAAAUUCCAUCUAAGGCUAAAUACUGGCGAGAGACCGAUAGCGAACAAGUACUGUGAAGGAAAGAUGAAAAGCACUUUGAAAAGAGAGUGAAACAGCACGUGAAAUUGUUGAAAGGGAAGGGUAUUGGGCCCGACAUGGGGAGUGCGCACCGCUGUCUCUUGUAGGCGGCGCUCUGGGCGCUCUCUGGGCCAGCAUCGGUUCUUGCUGCGAGAGAAGUGGCGCCGGAAAGUGGCUCUUCGGAGUGUUAUAGCCGGUGCCGGAUGUCGCGUGCGGGGACCGAGGGCUGCGACAUCUGUCUCGGAUGCUGGCACAACGGCGCAAUACCGC
This 564-nucleotide ribosomal RNA is filed under the name Pichia ethanolica. Its description in RNAcentral is "eukaryotic LSU rRNA". It matches the Rfam family "Eukaryotic large subunit ribosomal RNA", at positions 57 to 648 of the family's 3401-position model. The record is from RNAcentral. Lineage: Eukaryota; Fungi; Ascomycota; Pichiomycetes; Pichiales; Pichiaceae.